GGUUAAGCGACUAAGCGUACACGGUGGAUGCCCUGGCAGUCAGAGGCGAUGAAGGACGUGCUAAUCUGCGAUAAGCGUCGGUAAGGUGAUAUGAACCGUUAUAACCGGCGAUUUCCGAAUGGGGAAACCCAGUGUGAUUCGUCACACUAUCAUUAACUGAAUCCAUAGGUUAAUGAGGCGAACCGGGGGAACUGAAACAUCUAAGUACCCCGAGGAAAAGAAAUCAACCGAGAUUCCCCCAGUAGCGGCGAGCGAACGGGGAGGAGCCCAGAGCCUGAAUCAGUGUGUGUGUUAGUGGAAGCGUCUGGAAAGGCGCGCGAUACAGGGUGACAGCCCCGUACACAAAAAUGCACAUACUGUGAGCUCGAUGAGUAGGGCGGGACACGUGGUAUCCUGUCUGAAUAUGGGGGGACCAUCCUCCAAGGCUAAAUACUCCUGACUGACCGAUAGUGAACCAGUACCGUGAGGGAAAGGCGAAAAGAACCCCGGCGAGGGGAGUGAAAAAGAACCUGAAACCGUGUACGUACAAGCAGUGGGAGCCUCUUAAUGGGGUGACUGCGUACCUUUUGUAUAAUGGGUCAGCGACUUAUAUUCUGUAGCAAGGUUAACCGAAUAGGGGAGCCGAAGGGAAACCGAGUCUUAACUGGGCGUUAAGUUGCAGGGUAUAGACCCGAAACCCGGUGAUCUAGCCAUGGGCAGGUUGAAGGUUGGGUAACACUAACUGGAGGACCGAACCGACUAAUGUUGAAAAAUUAGCGGAUGACUUGUGGCUGGGGGUGAAAGGCCAAUCAAACCGGGAGAUAGCUGGUUCUCCCCGAAAGCUAUUUAGGUAGCGCCUCGUGAAUUCAUCUCCGGGGGUAGAGCACUGUUUCGGCAAGGGGGUCAUCCCGACUUACCAACCCGAUGCAAACUGCGAAUACCGGAGAAUGUUAUCACGGGAGACACACGGCGGGUGCUAACGUCCGUCGUGAAGAGGGAAACAACCCAGACCGCCAGCUAAGGUCCCAAAGUCAUGGUUAAGUGGGAAACGAUGUGGGAAGGCCCAGACAGCCAGGAUGUUGGCUUAGAAGCAGCCAUCAUUUAAAGAAAGCGUAAUAGCUCACUGGUCGAGUCGGCCUGCGCGGAAGAUGUAACGGGGCUAAACCAUGCACCGAAGCUGCGGCAGCGACACUAUGUGUUGUUGGGUAGGGGAGCGUUCUGUAAGCCUGUGAAGGUGUACUGUGAGGUAUGCUGGAGGUAUCAGAAGUGCGAAUGCUGACAUAAGUAACGAUAAAGCGGGUGAAAAGCCCGCUCGCCGGAAGACCAAGGGUUCCUGUCCAACGUUAAUCGGGGCAGGGUGAGUCGACCCCUAAGGCGAGGCCGAAAGGCGUAGUCGAUGGGAAACAGGUUAAUAUUCCUGUACUUGGUGUUACUGCGAAGGGGGGACGGAGAAGGCUAUGUUGGCCGGGCGACGGUUGUCCCGGUUUAAGCGUGUAGGCUGGUUUUCCAGGCAAAUCCGGAAAAUCAAGGCUGAGGCGUGAUGACGAGGCACUACGGUGCUGAAGCAACAAAUGCCCUGCUUCCAGGAAAAGCCUCUAAGCAUCAGGUAACAUCAAAUCGUACCCCAAACCGACACAGGUGGUCAGGUAGAGAAUACCAAGGCGCUUGAGAGAACUCGGGUGAAGGAACUAGGCAAAAUGGUGCCGUAACUUCGGGAGAAGGCACGCUGAUAUGUAGGUGAAGUCCCUCGCGGAUGGAGCUGAAAUCAGUCGAAGAUACCAGCUGGCUGCAACUGUUUAUUAAAAACACAGCACUGUGCAAACACGAAAGUGGACGUAUACGGUGUGACGCCUGCCCGGUGCCGGAAGGUUAAUUGAUGGGGUUAGCGGUAACGCGAAGCUCUUGAUCGAAGCCCCGGUAAACGGCGGCCGUAACUAUAACGGUCCUAAGGUAGCGAAAUUCCUUGUCGGGUAAGUUCCGACCUGCACGAAUGGCGUAAUGAUGGCCAGGCUGUCUCCACCCGAGACUCAGUGAAAUUGAACUCGCUGUGAAGAUGCAGUGUACCCGCGGCAAGACGGAAAGACCCCGUGAACCUUUACUAUAGCUUGACACUGAACAUUGAGCCUUGAUGUGUAGGAUAGGUGGGAGGCUUUGAAGUGUGGACGCCAGUCUGCAUGGAGCCGGCCUUGAAAUACCACCCUUUAAUGUUUGAUGUUCUAACGUUGGCCCCUGAUCGGGGUUGCGGACAGUGUCUGGUGGGUAGUUUGACUGGGGCGGUCUCCUCCUAAAGAGUAACGGAGGAGCACGAAGGUUGGCUAAUCCUGGUCGGACAUCAGGAGGUUAGUGCAAUGGCAUAAGCCAGCUUGACUGCGAGCGUGACGGCGCGAGCAGGUGCGAAAGCAGGUCAUAGUGAUCCGGUGGUUCUGAAUGGAAGGGCCAUCGCUCAACGGAUAAAAGGUACUCCGGGGAUAACAGGCUGAUACCGCCCAAGAGUUCAUAUCGACGGCGGUGUUUGGCACCUCGAUGUCGGCUCAUCACAUCCUGGGGCUGAAGUAGGUCCCAAGGGUAUGGCUGUUCGCCAUUUAAAGUGGUACGCGAGCUGGGUUUAGAACGUCGUGAGACAGUUCGGUCCCUAUCUGCCGUGGGCGCUGGAGAACUGAGGGGGGCUGCUCCUAGUACGAGAGGACCGGAGUGGACGCAUCACUGGUGUUCGGGUUGUCAUGCCAAUGGCACUGCCCGGUAGCUAAAUGCGGAAGAGAUAAGUGCUGAAAGCAUCUAAGCACGAAACUUGCCCCGAGAUGAGUUCUCCCUGACUCCUUGAGAGUCCUGAAGGAACGUUGAAGACGACGACGUUGAUAGGCCGGGUGUGUAAGCGCAGCGAUGCGUUGAGCUAACCGGUACUAAUGAACCGUGAGGCUUAACCUU
RNAcentral lists this ribosomal RNA (2904 nucleotides) under Escherichia coli. RNAcentral describes it as "23S ribosomal RNA". It matches the Rfam family "Bacterial large subunit ribosomal RNA". Lineage: Bacteria; Pseudomonadati; Pseudomonadota; Gammaproteobacteria; Enterobacterales; Enterobacteriaceae. The record is from RNAcentral.